Drosophila melanogaster (fruit fly) is the source of this 350-nucleotide non-coding RNA. The record is from Ensembl. Lineage: Eukaryota; Metazoa; Arthropoda; Insecta; Diptera; Drosophilidae.
GUAAACAAGAGCGAUAAUGAACACAAAGAAUUAGCGACGGAAUAUAGAAUGUUUUGGUAGUUUCAAAUGUAAUGACCAGCAAAACAUUCACCAGCAAAAAUUCCUAUGUAGAUGUGUUACGGCAUAAUAAAACAGCGUCUUUAAGCUUAUUGACUUGAACAUUAAAUCAUUGUCCUUGUUGUUUUAGUUGGACUUGCAAGGACAUCACAUCGAAGAUGAUGAACUCAGCAGGCUAUCUGAAUGCACCUCCGUGGCAAAUUAAUAAAUUGAAAUAUACAUACAUGUAAUAAUUACAGAAAAUAAUUUUCUCAUGACUAUACAUUUUUGUAAUUGGUGUAAAUUGCUUGGUU